Molecule: transfer RNA, 74 nt
Filed under: Archangium sp.
Lineage: Bacteria; Pseudomonadati; Myxococcota; Myxococcia; Myxococcales; Archangiaceae
Also listed under: 1 other name
Description: tRNA-Arg
Rfam family: tRNA
About the family: Transfer RNA (tRNA) molecules are approximately 80 nucleotides in length. Their secondary structure includes four short double-helical elements and three loops (D, anti-codon, and T loops).
Source: RNAcentral
GGUCCCGUAGCUCAGUUGGAUAGAGCACAUCUUUCCUAAAGAUGGGGUCGCAAGUUCGAUUCUUGCCGGGAUCA